GACUUUGUUGCGAAAUAGGAAGCCGAUUCUAGAUUUAAUUUUGGAUUGGAGAUGCUUAAUGUGAGUCUGGAAGGAGAGUUUACAGUCUAACCAGACACCUAGGUAUUUGUAGUUGUCCACAUAUUCUAGGUCAGAACCAUCCAGAGUAGUGAUGCUAGUCCGGAGGGAGGGUGCGGACAGCAAUCGGUUGAAGAGCAUGCACUUAGUUUUACUAGCAUUUAAAAGCAGUUGGAGGCCAGGGAAGGAGUGUUGUUUGGCGUUGAAGCUCGUUUGGAGGUUUGUUAGCACAGUGUACAAAUAAGGGCCAGAUGUAUACAGAAUGGUGUCGUCUGCGUAGAGGUGGAUCAGAGAAUCACCAGCUGCAAGAGCGACAUCAUUGAUAUAUACAGAGGCCCUCCGAUUUGACACACUGAACACUAACUGAGAGGUGUUCCAGUUUACCUGGGCCUUGUUGAUUAGAAAGGCCUGCUCGCUGAAGUCUUUUAGUGAGCGUUUGACAGUGAUGAGGGGUGGUCGUUUGACCGCGGACCCAUUACACACGCAGGCAAUGAGACAGUGAUCGCUGAGAUCCUGGUUGAAGACAGCAGAGAUGUAUUUAGAGGGCAAGUUGAUCAGGAUGAUAUCUAAGAGGGUGCCAUGGUUACGGAUUUAAGGUUGUACCUGGUAGGUUCCUUGAUAAUUUAUGUGAGAUUGAGGGUUAUUUAUCUUAGAUUGUACCAAAAGGCAAAAAUACUGUAUAAAUAUAGGACAAACCACAUCACAACGAGACAGACACAACACUACAUAAUGCGAGACCUAACAUAAGGCAGCAAAACAUGACAACACAGCAUGGUAGCAAAACAUGGUAGCAGCACAAAAACAUGGUACAAACAUUAUUGGGCAAAGUCAACAGCAGAGGGAAAGAAGGUAGAGACAACAAUACAUCAUACAAAGCAGCCACAACUGCCAGUAAGAGUGUCCAUGAUUGAGUCUUUGAAUGAAGAGAUUGAGAUAAAACGUUGAGGGACUAGGGGUUGAUUUUGGGAUUCAGAGUAUAAGUACCUCGCACAUGCUGGAAUAAAUGUAUCGGUGUAUCAAAUAUAUAUAUAUAUAUUUUCCAUAUGCUGAUUGAUUUGUCUCGGAUGGAUGAUACAGUUAUAUGAUUUCAGCUGCCCCAUGUUCUUAAGGACUUACGGUAACUAACUUUUUCUGAUUGUGUCAUAUUCGUUCUUAUUUGACAAACUAUGGUUUGUUGUGCCCUGCCAGCGGCUCUCGACAUGACGAAGUUACCGUUUCUAAAUGUAGAUUUGACCGAACGGUUGAUGUCAGCUGAUAUGAGACCAUAUUAAAAUACAAGGAGGAAAUACUGUAAUACAGGGAAAGAGCGAAUGAUCAACUGAGACGCAAACUGCACAGAAAUGGGAUUCCAUUGCCAGGCCGAGAGUCCUCUGCUCUUAUAGAACUUGAGGAGGGAGCCAUUGGGUUGAAGCAGGAACCAGAACCAAGGCAAACUAUGGAGAAACAGGAGGGAAGGACCAGGAAGGAGGAAAAGCAACUUAGAGGACUAGACUCUGUCUAGAUGUCUCUCCUUACAAUGGAAAUGAUGGCUAUGAUCAGAACACACCUCAUUCAGUCAGUUCCAAACUCACACCGGGGAGAGUAGAUAGGGAGGCUCUCUGUCCAGCUCAUCAACAUCCAAACCAAUCAAAACAGAGACUGAAGGACUGGGUGUUUGUCCAUUUGAUCCGUCAAGUGACCCCAAUACAUUCUCUUCGUCAGUGAACCUUGACCUUUUGGCAGCACUGAAUGAGAACAGUGUAAGUAUGAUGGGGGUGGAAGGUGGUGAAGGACUACUGUCAGGGUUUGAGGCGCUACAGAUACCACUACACAUGGAACAGUCCCUUCAAAAUCACCACAACACAGCAUUGUGUUGCAAGGUGUGUGGGAAACCCUGUAGACAUAUGGGCCAUUUAAACGCACACAUGCAAAUGCACAUGAAAGAGAAGCCAUUACUCUGCGGGGUUUGUGGUAAGUGCUUUAGCUCGCCGGGGAGGUUGAAAGGGCGUUAGCGGAUUCACACAGGGGAGAAGCUCUAUCAGUGCCAUAUCUGUAGGAAACGGUGCAAUCAGACCGCACACCUGAAAGUGCAUCCGAGUGUCCACACAGGAGAAAAACUGUUCAGUUGUCCUGUGUGUGGCAAGUGCUUCAGCCACUCCGACAAAAUUAAACGUCACCUCCAGACCCACAGCCGUGAAGGCACCUAGGCUUGUGAUUUUUUCUCUUUUUCUCUCAAAGAGCUAGGGAUUCUGUGACUUUCUUAGAGAAUGUUCUCUGACUAACACUUCUCCAUGCCAUAGUCUCUCUCUCUCAUGCAAUAGGUUUUGCAUUAUAGUCAAUUUAGUGUGUUUCUUUUUGUACAUGUCACUGAAUGGAGUUUUUGAGAAUCUUUAAAAACACAACAUUUUAUGAGUUAGUUGCUAGUCUUUCUGAAUUAUACUGAACAAAAAUAUGGUGUGGCAUAUCAAGAAGCGUAUUAAAGAGCAAGAUUCAUUAGAAACGUGCACCUUGUGCUGGGGACAAUAAAAGGCCUCUGUAAAAUGGUCAGUUUUGUCACACAACACAGUGCCACAGAUGUCUCAUGUUUUGAGGGCGCAGUGCAGUUGACAUGCUGACUGAAGGAAUGUCCACCAGAGCUGUUGCCAGAAAAUGUUAUGUUCAUUUCUCUACCAUAAGCUGCCUCCAAUGUUGUUUUGGAGAAUUUGGCAGUACAUCCAACUGGCUGUUUAAUCAGCUUAUUGAUAUGCCACACCUGUCAGCUGGAUGGAUUUUCUUGGCAACGGAUAAAUGCUUACUAAUGCAGUUGCUUCACAAAUUUGUGCUCAAAAUUUGUGAGAAAUUAGAGAAAUUGUGCGAAUGGAAACAUGUUGCAUUUAUAUUUUUGUUCAGGAUAACUGUGUUGCUUGUUCGCGAGGGUUGGUCCUGAGCUAGGCUCUGCUGCACAUACAGGUAACUGCUAAAAUAAUGAAAGAUGGCGCCGACAGACAUGGCAGCUCUGCUUCUAGAUCCUAAGCAACUUUGCGAUAUUACAGCACUGUUGGAGCUAGGAACACAACCAUUUCGCUACACCCACAAUAACAUCUGCUAAACAUGUGUAUGUGACCAAUAAAAUUGGAUUCAAUUUAAUGGAAAUACUUCAGUAAAUGAGCAAUACGAAGUAUAUUGAAAGCAGGUGCUUCCACACAGGUGUGGUUCCUGAGUUAAUUACCCAAUUAACAUCCAAUCAUGCUUAGGGUCAUGUGAAAAUGCUGGGCAGGCCAUUAUUUUGGCUACCAUGGCAAUGCCCCCAUCCACAGAGCACGAGUGUUCAGUGAAUGGUUUGAUGAGCAUGAAGACAAUGUAAACCAUUUGCCAUGGCUGUCUCAGUCACCAGACCUCAACCCAAUUGAACUCUUAUGGGAGAUUCUGGAGCAGCGCCUGAGACAGCAUUUUCCACCACCAUCGACAAAACACCAUAUUAUGGAUUUUCUUGUGGAAGUAUGGUGUUGCAUCCCUCCAAUAGAGUUCCAGACACUUGUAACAUCUAUGCCAAUGUGCAUUGAAGUGGUUCUGGCUCGUGCUGGCCCAACGUCCUAUUAACAUAUUUUAUGUUGGUGUUUCCUUUCAUUUUGCAGUUACCUGUAUAUUCACUAUAGCAAAGAUCUGUGGCCCAUUGUUUGGAAGUGAAACAGACAUUUUUGUCAGACCCAGAUCAAUGCUUCUCCUGGAAUUAAAAGCACUUUAGAUGCUGUGUGUGUAUAUAUAUAUAUAUAAGGUCCUAGUAUUAAACAUGUCAUCUCCAAUAGUUCACUGUGAACAGUAAUGAGUUAGAAUGGUCCCCUGGAGGUUUUUGUCUAGUUCCCGGUUUGUCCUGGGGACGUCACUUGAUGGGAAUUAUUAUUUAACAUGUCCUCACCACCUGUGAGGUUUUGCUGUUUAUAAUGUGCGGAUUCGUCAAUUCUUUGUCGAUACAUUCUGUCUGUAUAUUGUGUUUAUCAUCUAUUUUCACCGUUUCACCAAAUCAAAUUCCGGAUAUAUUUAAAUGUCCUUUGUGAAUAAACUCUGUUUCUGAAUGUUAUUCAACAAUAUAACUUAUUUAUUAAAUGUUUCAUAUGCUUACAGAGCUUGAUCUUACCACAUCGUAAUAUAAGAUUGUUUUACUCCACACUCCAAACAAUGUAUAGCCUCAAAUAUAGCAUGGUUUACAGAACCACCCAUUUCACCUCCUUUAUAGAUACCUAUCCAGGUCAGAACACCAAUGGGACAGACUGGUGUCUAGCAUAGGUCUACUGCAGGCCACAAGACUGUUGCCCUGUACAGCUUUUACGUAGGCAUUAGCACAGGGAGUUUACACAAAUCUUUAGUUUAAUAAGUUGCAUAACACCUACAUCACUUUUCAGGUGUUAUCCCAUUCUGCCUUGGUGACCAUGACUUAGGCACUUAGCCUCUUAACUGCCACAAGGGCAAGGCUGACCCUGUUAUACUACAAGCCUUUUCUGGGUUUGGUGUUUCAUAGAGUUGGCUAGGGUGACAACAAAAAACAUGUUUCAGUUAUACAAUAAGACUUUAUUUUGAAAUAAAAUGUUGCCUGUGUGUGUGUGUGUGUGUGUUGUCACAUGCCUGUGUGUUCCUGUGAGUGCGUGUGUGUUUGUAAUGCAGGUUGAGUCUGUAUGUGUGGGUCCUGGGUAUAUAUACCAGUAUAUACCAGUGCUUUUGGCAACACCAAAGGAAGUAUACAUUUCCAUUCAUAACACCAUUAUGACAUCAUUCAUAAUCCCCUUCAUUAAUGUUUCAGUAUCAGUCAUCAUAAAAUCAUACCAGAUUAAACAUCAAUCAUAUGUAAUCUUCAAAAGCAAAACGUUAUUAUCAAUUAUUUUAUAGUAGAACUAUCUGGAUGAAUUGAGCUUGGGUGGUUGCUGUGUUAGUUCUGCACAGCACAAGACUUUGAUAGCCUCUGCUGAGCCGAAGCCAAGGUUCUAGAUUGUGGAGCUAAUGCCAGUCUUCAGGUUUCAGACAAGUUGACUCAACAUGUUAAAAUGACACCCAUUGCACAGGUGCCAGCCAGAUCUGUCAUCCAGAUUUGAAAUUGUUCAAAAUACUUUGAGCGUUUGCUUGAGCCUUUUUUCUUUCUUCUUUGAACUAUUCCAUGUCCAUCAAAGUACGGGAAAUAACACACGAAGGCAUUGAUCUUGGAUAUUACAUGAUUGCAUGAUUACAUAAAAACAGGUGUAAACAGGUCAGUCCCGUCCCAAAAUUGCAAAGAAAAAAAAAGAAAUCAUAGAAAAAUAAUAACACAAGGAACAAAUCCACAAUGCCAAUAACUUGGCUAAAUACACAAUAUUUGCACAUGAUUCUUUUUAAAAUUCUUCAAGCUCUGUCAAGUUGGUUGUUUUGAAGUCUUGCCAUAGAUUUUCAUGCAGAUUUAAGUCAAUUGUAACUAGGCCACUCAGGAAGAUUUACGGUCUUCUUAGUAAGCAACUCCAGUGUUGAUUUGGCCUUGUGUUUUAAGUUAUUGUCCUGCUGAAACGUGAAUUUGUCUCCCAGUGCCUGGUGGAAAGCAGACUGAACCAGGUUUUCCUCAAGGAUUUUGCCUGUGCUUAGCUUCAUUCCAUUUAUUUUUGUCCUAAACUCCCUACUACUUGCUGAAGACAAGCAUACCCAUAACAUGAUGCAGCCACCACCAUGCUUACAAAUCUGAAGAGUGGUACUCAGUGAUGUUGUGUUAGACCUGCCACAAAUGUAACGCUUCAGGACAUAAAGUGAAUUUCUUAGCCACAUUUUUAAAAGUUUUACUUUAGUGUCUUAUAGCAAACAAGAUGCAUGUUUUGGAAUAUUUUUUAUUCUGUACAGGCUUCCUUCUUUUCAAUCUGUCAUUUAGGUUAGUAUUGUGGAGUAACUACAAUGUUGUUGAUCCAUCCUCAGUUUUCUCCUAUCACAGCCAUUAAACUCGGUGACAGUUUUAAAGUCACCACUGGCCUCAUGGUGAAAUCCCUGAGUGGUUUCCUUCUUCUCCAGCAACUGAGUUAGGAAGGACGCCUGUAUCUUUGUAGUGACUGGUAUUGAUACACCACCAAAGUGUAAUUAAUACCUUUACCAUGCUCAAAGGGAUAUUCAACGUCAGCUUUACCAUUUUUUACCCAUCUACCAAUAGGUGCCGUUCUUUGCAAGGCAUUGGAAAUUCACUGCUCGACCAAGGGACCUUACAGUGUGUGUGGGGUACAGAGAUAAGGCAGUCAUUAAAUAAUCAUGUUAAACACUAUUAUUGCACACAGGGUGAAUCCAUGCAACUUAUUAUAUGACCAAUGUUUUCUCCUGAACUCAUUUGCCAUAACAAAGGGUUUGAAUACUUACUGACUCAAGACAUUUAAGAUUCAAAAUACAUAAUUCCACUUUGACGUUGUUGGGUAUUGUGUGUAGGCCAGUGACACAGCAUCUCAAUUUAAUCAAUUUUAAAUUCAGGCUGUAACAACAAAAUUAAGAAAAAGUCAAGGGGUGUGAACAUUUUCUGAAGACACUGUCUGCACUGAGUAUAUCAAACAAGCAUUAGAGUCAACAUGGGCCAACAUCCCUGUGGAACGCUUUCAACACCUUGUAGCCCCCAUCACCUAGGCCAAGUGUCUUGGGCAAUAGGGGCUAUGGGGUUGUCACAAGACAGGGCCUUUAUCACCUCUCAGGACUGAGGCUACUACAGUAGGCCGUCUAACUCGAUCGACAUUCCUCCAGUCUCUUCCCCACAGUCUAUUCUGGGACACUGCUGCUCCCACACACAUUACUGUACAGUGUUGUAUCAUUGUGUACUAAAUGUUAUUUUUUAAUAAACUAGUAAUUGAUUACCUUG
Long non-coding RNA from Oncorhynchus nerka (sockeye salmon), 6853 nucleotides. RefSeq lists it as uncharacterized. The transcript is spliced from 2 exons. NCBI's taxonomy places the organism in Eukaryota, Metazoa, Chordata, Actinopteri, Salmoniformes, Salmonidae. The record is from RefSeq and is a predicted model, not a curated record.